UCCCCGGAGGACUAGUGGUUAAGCCACAGCGCUCUCGCCACUGCAGCCCGGGUUUGAUUCCCAGGCAGGGAA
This 72-nucleotide transfer RNA is filed under the name Pangasius djambal. Its description in RNAcentral is "tRNA-Glu". The record is from RNAcentral. Lineage: Eukaryota; Metazoa; Chordata; Actinopteri; Siluriformes; Pangasiidae.